CUCAAACAUGAUGCCGGCUCUUUAUACAUUGUUAAUAUAAAGUACGUAUUGUACAAACACAACAAGUGCCUACUGAAUAAGUGACUUUUCAGUCCCGAGUUCACGUCCCAAUUAAAAUUAAGAGAAUAAAUAAAUAAAUAAUAGAGAAAAAGGGCAACAUAAAGCAAUUAGAAAGAAAGGAAUACUUGAAUAGCAGUGGGUUUAUUCUAUUGAUGGAGAUUAUCCUAGUAGACAACCUAAUUGUCUUAAUAUUAAUAACCACUAAGGUGCAACUUGUUUUCCUCUCUUUCCCUCUUCUGAGACCCAAAACGCACCAAAUUAUACAUGUGCUAAGAAUGAUACUGAGCAAACUCAUAUCAUAAAUAUCUCCACAAAAUUAGGUACCAGUCUGGUAUCUAUAUUCAUGGGAAGGUACUGAAGCCAGAAACAACUAGCCCUGGAAGACGUCCUAAUGUAUGACUAAUUACCGCAUAAAAUUUAAGUUUUAAAAUCUCAUCAAGAUUUCUGUCUGCUUGAACUUGUUUUUUGUACUACUGCAUUUGCUGCACUGCAUGUUCUCCGAAAAAAUGUUGGUCUUAACCAACUUGAAGAGCCAUUAUUUGUUUCCUCUAGAGCACGGAUACCAUCUGAAAUCCCAGGAUUGCUUGAAACCCCGACUGCUGCUGAAAUCCCAUUACUCUGCUGCAGGGUUACCGAGGCAGCUCUGUGGAGGGGUCUUUGAACCUAAAAAAGUUCAAGGGAAUAAGAGCUUAUUACAAUAAGAAAACUUGUAGGUAAGAACAUCAGGUAAAAGUGCUAUCUUCUAGUCUACAAAUUUACAGUAAGGUUCCUAAAGCAAAGAAGCCCUUAGCAUGAAUUAAAAAUCACUAAGCACAAUUCUUUAAAUUUCAGACGUAGAAGAGCAAGGGGAAGAGGUGAACACAAUAAACAUGAUCAAUCAUCUCUCACUGAUGCCCACAGAAAAUAUUGAUUGCAUAUGAGCCCAAGUAAAAGAAUGAGAUUAAAUUUUCUGGAAGUCAACAAACCUCCAGAGAUCCACUGGAAACAGAUGGAGAAGUUGGUUCACUUGAGGGAGGCAGCAAAGAGCAGCCCAUCUGUGGAAGUACACACACACACUAGUGAGAAUAAUAAUAGUUAGCAAACUACAUUAAGAACAAAGCAAGCACUGUGGUCAUGACAUUUUAAGCUUAUAGCCAAUGAAAUGGUAUAACAGAAUAUAUUAAUUGGGCUAGGCAUGCCAAGUGACAAAUGCAUCCAGUUUCAUAUUCCAAAUUCCCAGUUCCAAAUAGACCACGUGACCAAGCAAAAAGACCAACAAAUAAUAAAAAAUUAUCUAAUUUUUAAAAAUAUAGAUAUCCCAUGCCUCCAACCCAAACCAACAGCAGUUAUUACACAUCAUAAUUUGGAAAUGAAAUAUUACCUUUGAUGAGAAUGUAAUUCGUGAACUGGAUGAUGAGGCCUACAGAAUUUGGGAACACAAUUAAUGGAAGAAUCUGAUAGACUACAAGCAAAAAAGAGAAUCUAUUCAUAGAAGUUGUAACCAAGCUUAAAAAAGAUAUGAGAAGAAAUUUUCUUGAUUGACUUGGGGUCAUACAAAGCAAUGCAAGUGAUUGAUAAACCAAAAUCUCAGUCUCACAAAGCAGACAUGAAAAACAAAUCAAAUUUGGUUCAUUGCAGACAUGCAAGAGUGAUAUUAUUGAAUAACAAAAAGCUGGGUACAUGCCUGAGUAUUCUCUUCAAGUAAGUUAUUUUCCAAAUUGUAGGCAUAGUCAACCAACUUCUUUACUCCAAGGUUUGUCAUUUCCUGCUUCCCUUCUAUUCUACUGAUUUUUAGUUCCUACAAAUUAGGAAAAGAAACAAAAUAAAAUAAGUCUUCUAUUCACAUCCGGAAAAGAGUCCAUAAAAUUGAAGGGAGAAAUUGUCAUCUUCAAGAUUGUUUACCAAUGUUUCAACAGCAUCACGAACGUAUCGAACGUCAUGACCAAUCCUUUCCGAAUCUUCCAACAGUUCAGUAACCUUUUCUUGUGUAUUAGCAGUAAGUACAGCAACCUCAUUCAAAUUAGAAUCCACGCGAUCAAUAUUUGAAGAUAAUUGCCUCCUGGUACUCUAUAUAUUAAAAAAAUAAUUUGUUCAUAAAAAAAGUUAUAGCUAAGAAACCUCUUUAUUUUAAAUGCCAGAAGCAACCAAUCAAACAAAUGUUUCUGAAGUCAACAUGUUUAAUAUCACUAAUCUGUAACAUAGGAUUGUAAGCAAAAUUGAACUUGUGAGUGAAAAGAAUAGAGGCUAAAAUAUAGUGGGUAGGAAUCCUACGAUACUAGAAAGAUAAGAGAGAGAAUCGCAAAAGAGAUGGAGAUGACGCAGGGCGCAGCUGUGUGUAGCAAGGCACAUGAUUCAAGUGUAAGCUCUUCCUUAAAUAGCGAGGAAAAUACAAAAUUCAAUAUAAAUAUAAAAACCCUUACUCUGAUUGAUGCAUAAACAUUUUCAAGUUGUUGGGCUAUAGAAGUGCAAGCAUCGGAUAAACCUCGUCUUGUUGCAAACAUCAUGUCUGGAAGUUUCCAGCCCUGAAAUUAUAAAACGAUUCAAAACAUCAGCCAACAUCAAAGAACAUUAUGCAUCUGAAACACACCAUUCAAAUAAAAGAUUAGGAUUUCACAGUCAAUCUUAAUUGAUGAAUUUGCUUAUACAACAGUUCAAACCUCUCAAAAAAUUUCAUGAUCUUGACAACAUGGUUACCACCCUAAAGUACCCAUAUCAGGCAUGGAUAUUUUGACAUGGAUAGUUCUAAUUAGCAGCAAGAUCUAUGAAAAUAUUGGUCAACAGGCGAGUUUGACCAUAAACACAUACACAUCUAAGAUGCUCAUACCAAACUGUAACAUAGCUUGGGAUUUAAUGAGCAAAAUCUUUGUGGUUAUUGCACUUCAUAAUUCAUAUGAUGUUCCAGAAAAAUAAAGAGAGUUGGUUGCCAAAGCAGCCAAAUUAAAAAACAAGCCACCUUACCAUAAGCUUCAGCAGAGAGAACAAAUUGAAAAGCAACUGACUGUUGUGAUUUAUUCAUGCAUGCGAUGACCAUACCAACCUAACUCCAUAUGCUGUGCCAAUAUCAAACAGGUAUAUUUUUGUAGCAAACUAGUUGCCAUAGAUAGGACAGAAUGGAAGGGGGAAGGAACUAUGUUGCCAAUUCCCAAUUAACACAAGAUUAAGAUUUAGUGAAAUUCAGUAAGAUGCCUUGGAUUGUAUGCAUUCGUUGUUGUAUUUAGUUUCUUAUCAAUUAUUCCACAAAAACUUGUAGAAACAAGAACAUCACCUUCCACCAAACAUAGCCAUAUCCAAAUACACCCACGACAACAAUUAUACCAUAUUUACUUGCACCUGCACCUGCACAUUAUGAAUACAUCUAAGAACAGCCCAGAGAAAGUGCAAAGUCAAAGGUCAAUAUAUCACCAAGAAACUUCAACAAAGAUAAUAGAGAGUUGUUCCGUAGUUAGAUAAUGAAAUUCAAGAGCAGCAGUAAGAAAGACACCCUAAGACUUCUCAAGAAAUGGUAUGUCAUGGAAUUUUUCUCCUUUUUUUUUGACAUUUUUCAAAAUAUUACAAACUCAAACCUGUCCCGCUUGCAGUUACAAUUGUAACUGAUCUGUUUGAUGCUAACAUUUGCAGCUCCUGCCGAAGACUGUCAACCUGAGCCAUCAAAGAAUCAUUAUGUUGCUUGCCAAUUGAUGAGGUAGAAUCAUCUUGUCUAAUUUGCUUAAAAGCAAUCUUGAAUGCACCUGAAACCAAAUCAGACACAUUUGGCAAGCGCCCCUCUUUUGCAAGAACUGAGCCAAUAAUACCUGCACCAACAAGGAUGGUUAACUUGCCGAGGGAUAGAGCCAUGGCCAGUGAUUCUUCUUGUAAGAAAAUCGAUUGAUAAAAUAUCAAUUAUAUCUAUAGCCCAUAAAAAUCACUCCACAUCGCAGCUAUUAAGCAUCAGCCAAGUCUCUAAAGAGGAAAUUGGUGAAGAAAAGGAUUCU
This 4010-nucleotide unclassified non-coding RNA is filed under the name Hevea brasiliensis (rubber tree). The record is from RNAcentral. Lineage: Eukaryota; Viridiplantae; Streptophyta; Magnoliopsida; Malpighiales; Euphorbiaceae.